UGCCUCAGCACCUGCACAAUUUGUGCAGAAGCAUAGCAUGAGUACGUAAAUAACGUGUACCCAGUAAGUAUCUAGUCUAACCUCAAAGAAGUAGUGACGAGGGGCCGACAUCGACACUUACUAGAUAUUAAUAGAUAAAGUAGUGACGAAAUACAACAGUAAUAUUAGAAUAAGAAGCAUUAAAUAAGAACUCCAUCCGUUUCAAUUUAGAUGAGGUAAUUUGACUCGACACAGAGUCGAAGAAAAAAGAGGGAGACUUUUGAAAAUUAUGGUCUUAAAAGCUAUAUUUUUCUUUUAAACAGUCACCAUUGAUCAUUGAUGUGCAAAAAGAUACAUAUUGAGUUUGGCAUCCCAAACUUUGUACAUGAUCAUUGAGUUAUGACUUUCACUAUCACGACCUCAAUUACCCUCCGUAGGACGUCGUGACGGCACCUAGUCUCUAAGACUAGGUAAGUCUAAGCAACAUACGGAAGGGAAUGAAACAAUAAUUUAAAAAUCUCAAAACUCAACAACAUAUAUAAAAGGGGAAUCUCUACAGCUCAAUGUGCAUACAAUAGCCCAAAAUCUAGUAUAAUACAAGUCACAAGCUCUAUGACAAUACCAAAAUCAUUCAUAUACAACUGUGUCUAGUAAAUAAGGAAAAUAUAAAAAGGGAUAGAAGGGGAUUCCGAGGCCUGCGAACGCGGGUAGGUGUAUCUUGAAAUCUCCAAAUGCGAACUCAACUCGCUAGUGACGGGACUUAUAGGAUGUACCUGGAUCUGCACAAAAAGAUGUGCAGAAUCGUAGCAUGAAUACACCACAAUGGUACCCAGUAAGUAUCAAGCCUAACCUCGGUAGAAUAGUGACGAGGUCAGGUCAGGGCCCUACUAGAAAAUAAAUAAAAGACUGAAGAAAUGUAGGCAAUGUAAUGAUGACAGUAAUGACAUUGAAACAACGAGUAGCAUAUCAAAGUUAGCUACACAGAACUAAAGGAAAUAGUGCAACAUGGAGAAAACUAAUUAAUAAUAUGCUAAGGAAACAACAAUCAAAGACAAGUGCAAAAUAAUGGAGAAAUGCCAACAAGAGUCACUACCGAGGUACCGCCUCGUAGUCUAAAAUCACAAGAAUAAAUCACAAUCUUACCUUAUAUCUCAGCGGGAGAUUUUAUAUUUAGUUUUGAAAAUCAUUUUUCCUGAAAUAGCAUCCCGCGUUUUUGCCCACCUUAUCACACCGCAUGGCUUCUAGUAGUUCCCCUACUAGCCACGCCUAUCAAGCCCACUUUAUCUUACCGCAUGCGUAUCAACACCCAGACCUUAUAACACCGCAUACGUAUCAAUAUCACAACGUAUCACAAAUCGUAUCUUAAGUGCCCAAUAUAACAACUUUCUAGAGAAACCAAACAAUAACAGAAUUUCACAACAAGGAGUCCUCGAUUCAACCACAAUGUACACAAAGUCUCGACAAUAACAACUAGAAGAAUAACUGAAUAGAAUGAUAUUUCACAACUUAACACUUUGCCUCAAUAGGAAUCGUGACAUUUUCAACUCAAUACCAAUUUCAACAAUAAGAUAUUCCAAGAAUAGCAAUUUCAAGUAAAGAAUUCAACAGUUAAAUAACGAAUACGGAAUAAGGAAAUAAGAACUUCAACUAAGCAUGUAGAGCAAUUAGCAAGUAAGAGAUAAGACAAGUAGACAUGUGAGAUAAGACUAAAAAUGAUGACUAUAAUAUGUUAAGGCAACUCAAUUAAGGCAUGGAAAGGGUCUACAUAACUAAAACCGGAAAUUUUCACAUUUAGCAUGUGUACACACUCGUCACCUUGCGUACACGGCUUUCACAUAUCAUAAAUAACACCAAACCUAAGGGGUAAUUCCCCCACACAUGGUUAGGCAUAACACUUACCUCAAACCAUGCUAAAUCAAUCCACUACUAGACCUUUUCCUCGAUUAUUCAACUCCGAACGGCUCAAAUCUAGGAAAAAUAAUUUCAUACUAUAAAUAUAAUUAUAGGAAACUAAUUCAAACAAUGAAAUUGCAAUCUUUGCAAAGAAUUAAAAAGUCACCCUAGAUCCACACCUCAAAACCCGACCAAAAUUAUAAUAGCCGAACGCCCAUUCGAUAUCGAGUCCAGCCAUAUAAGAAUUACUCAAAACCGACCUCAAUUCGCCUUUCAAAACUCAAAUUUUAGUCUAAGAGGUUUCUACCAUUUUUCCCCAAUUUUCAACUCCAAAACACUAAUUAAUUGAUCAAAUUAACAAUAGAUUCUUGAAAAAUUAACCAAAACCAAGUUAGAAUUCCUUACCCUAACGAUCUCUCUGAAAAACCCUCGAAACAGCGCCUCCCACCGAGCUCUCUAAGUUCAAAAAUAAAUUAAGAAUCAAAACCCUCGAAUUUCCCCUUUUCUGCCUAGGGAAUCCGCUUCUGCUACCUUUUUAUUGCUUUUGCGAUACCGCACCUACGGAAAAACCAUCGCAGGUGCAGAUUCCACUUGAAUCCAGAAGUUUCGCUUCUGAGGACCAUGGAGACCGCACCUGCGAGCCCGCCCUAAGCCCCUCUGCCAAAUUUUGCAUCAGCGAAGUAAAUGGCAGCGCCUGCGGAGGCGCACCAGCGCUUAGGUGUCCGCACCUGCGAGCCCAGCCCUGGGCUCUCCUUUUCGCAUCUACGCACCACUAUCCGCACAUGCGGCCAAUCUUUCUCCAGGUGCGAUGACACCAGAAAGCUGGUAACUUCAGCAAUUCACAUAAGUCCAAUUUCAAUCCGGAUUCAAUCCGUUUCACACCUGGGGUCCCCGGGAUCCCGUCUGAAAGUACCAACAAGCUCUAAGUUCCGUGAUUUUAGUACGAUUGCUUUAAUCAUACCUGGCUUAAUUAAUUAUUUAAUUAUGUAUCUUUUUAGAACCUAUGUGCAUUUUACCUUUUUCCGCUUUUAAUUAUAGCCUAAUGGAUUUAUCUUUGAAGCGGAUCACAUGUGCAUAAAUUCGUUUUAUUUUGUGCGCUAAAAUCAUGACACGCAUACGUAUACACAAUUAAUCAUGCUUUAUUAAUUAUUAAGAUUGUUUGGUCAAGGUCGCACGAACGCGUACCUUGAUUUAUUUUGAGAAUCAUAAUUAUGUCACGCGAACGUGUACAUAAUCAUGAUAAUAAAUUUAAUAUGUGCCUAAAGCACUCUAACGGUACUCAUUAUUCUUCCUAAACUUUAAAAAUAUUAUAAGGUCAUGAAUUAUGGAAUUAUUUGUGGAACAAAAUGUAAUAAAUUAGUUAUGGAAAGGUGAGCUAGCCAAGAAUAUUUAACAAUUCGGCCAACUAGAGCUCUUAUGUGUAUUAAACCACUAAGACUUAAAUCAUGCUUAUCAGGGACAAAGAUAAGUUUAUUCAUGCUCAAGGAUUCACAACCAUAAUCACCAAGAUAAUGUAUUAGUCAAGUAUAAAAUGAGAGAUGGACCUUCAGGCAGUAAACUUUCUUCAUUACAUCAACGGACCUCUAUAAGAGCUCGAAUAGCACAGCUACUACAACAACAAUAGACUCACGAUCGGAAUCUCAACAGGAAACUUGAACCCGACCUCGACUUGAGUGGAAGAUUUUGAAUUUUAAACUCCUGCCCAACUGAACACUACCUUGAAAAAGUGAUGUUUAGACAGAUUUUCCAACCUGUUUCAAUUGAGGUUUUGGCUAGGAUUUUGGCUGAGUUUUGGAGGUUGUUUUGGGGUGGUUGUUGGCUGGAAUCGGCUAGUUUAAGCUGUGAUUUUGGAUUGAUUUCAGCAGGUUUUUGGCUGAUUUUCACUGGGUAAUUGGGGUUGUUUUUCAGCUCAUUGUUGCUGAUUUUGGGAUUGUGUUUGAGCUGAUUUUUGUGGUGGUUAAAGGUUAGCUUUUGGGUGAGGUUUUGGAGCUAGUUUUUCUGGGUUUUAGUGGUGGAAACAUGGGCUGUUCGGGGUUGUCUUAGGGUAUUAAUGAUGGUGGAAACAUGGGUUUCAUGGUGUUUUCAUGGUAGUUUUAGGCUUGGAUUUUGUGUGGUUGAAGAAGAAAGAGCCGCUACUUUUUU
This 4014-nucleotide long non-coding RNA is filed under the name Nicotiana tabacum (common tobacco). RNAcentral's name for it is "long non-coding RNA (NTAB_LNC005152)". Lineage: Eukaryota; Viridiplantae; Streptophyta; Magnoliopsida; Solanales; Solanaceae. The record is from RNAcentral.